CAGCCUCUUGGCUGCUUCACACAGGGUGAAGGCCAGCCCAAAGCCAGGUCUGGCUUCAGGGACAAACUGCUCCCCCUGCAUCAACUACUCACUGGAAACAGCUGAGGAUUCAAGCCUUUACACUCUCUCACCUUCACUCGUCUAUAUAAAGAAACACAAAACACAGAGCUGUGCCCUUUGAAAUAGGGGAAAAAAAAGAGAGAGAAGAAAAAAAGAAGGAUGUGGUUAUUUAGUAAGAGUACCGACAGAGCAUGGUCUCUAAGCAAAUGCUCUUGUGUUCUGUAUAACAGCCUGGACUGAAGCAAUCCUGCCAACCUUCUUGCUAGGAUUCAGAAGCUGUCGGAAACAAUCCUAGGGCUGCAGGCAAUUUCUUCAGGAAGCUCUUAGAGGACAGAAUAAAUUCUCUUCAGAAGAAAAAAUACGCUGCCUGUCUCUUAAGGAGGUGGAAUAGGAGUUGGGAAGUGGUAGAUCACUAACCCUGGCUUUGGUAUUUGGAAACACACUGGAGUCACCUGCUGAAGAAUCUGUUGCAAGCACCUAGAUGACAUCUCAGCAGGGAGAAAUGACCAACAUCAGUGGGGAAUGCAACUUUACAAGCAUCGACAGAUUAGCAGAGACCCUCCGGUUUGGGAUCUCCAUCCCCACCUUCAUUCUUGGCUUGGUUCUCAACACCUUGGCCCUCUCAGUAUUCUGCUGUUUUUGGAAGAAACAAACCAAAACCUCAGUCUACAUGAUCAAUCUGGCACUUGCAGAUGUUCUGCUGCUUCUCUCUCUCCCACUUAAGCUGCACUACUCUGUUGCAGAAGCACCCGGACUCCUGUGUGCCUUUAUACAGUCACUGUACUUCGUCAAUACCUAUGGCAGUAUCUUCAUCAUUGUUUGCAUUACUGUUGACAGAUACAUCUGCUUAAAGCAUCCAUUUGAAGGUAGAGCUAAUCAAUCCCCCAGGUGGGCAGUCUUAAUUUGCUGUUUUAUCUGGGCAGUAGCUUGGCUUUGCAGCAGCCCAAUAUACAUGUUUCAAAAGAAUGAUUCUUUAAAAUGCUUUCACAACAUGUCAGAUGAGGCCUGGAGCAUCCCUCUCAUCGUUUCUGUGGAGAUCUUUGGAUUUCUGAUUCCACUCUCAGUGAUGGUUUUCUGCUCUGCACAAAACAUCUGGAUUCUUCUGAGUCACAAAAACAGAGCCAAAGAGAAAGUAGAUUCCUUACGAGUCAUUAUCAUCAACCUUGUUGUCUUUUUGGUAUGUUUCACACCUGUCCAUCUUGCAAUCUGCCUACAGUGCCUGGUAAGACAGCACGUGAUAGUGGACUGCCGCCUGAAACAAACCAUCAGCCUCUUCAUUCAGGUGUCAAUGAUAGUAGCCAACCUCAACUGCUGUCUGGAUGCCAUCUUCUAUUACUUUGCUGCCAAAGAAUUCCGUGAAAAAACACACCUGAAAAAAAUUAUUGAACGAUGCCCUAUCUUUAAGCCUUGUGCCACAUGACAGGACCUUCUGCAGUGGAAGAAUGCUUCUUCCUCGGCUGCUGCUUGCCCUGCUGGUGGGACACUGACAGCAUUAUUCCCAACAUGGCAGUAAAGCCAGCUUGGCCGUUGCAGGAAGGGCACAGGAGGGAGAAGGACAGUAUUUUUCUCAUGAAUGUGAAUAUUUGUCUUCUUUUUUAAAGAUCAAAGGGUAAGAAUAUGGGGAAAAAAUAACCAGCAUUAUGAAAAUAUCAGUGACGCCAAAAGAAGCAUUAGCCUUGAUGCAAUCUACUAAAUCUGAAAAGCUUGUCAGAGAAAAACUGCCCAGGACACUGGACUGCCAAUUAAAAUCAGCCUUUGCCAUCACCACGAUGAUUUUCCUCUCAUUGAUGUGAUCAGAAAUUUAUUGCUCUGGGCCAGUCUAACCCAGAAAUAACUUCAACACCUUCUAGCCAACUUAGAAGGUAACUGAGAGAUACAAGAAAGUAUUUGGCCAAAAGUCUGGCUCUGCUCUUUCCUUCUGGAAACCCUGCAGAAGGUCUCUGUUGGAGCUCAUUUGCUCCAACAACUUGGCUGGCCCUCCCAUAAGCAUUAUAAAGCAUCAUGCACUGGGCCAGGGCUGUUCCAUAGAGGACCGGGCUGCCCAGUACAUGACAACAUCUCUUUAUACAACACCCUAUCUCGUGUAACAGCAACGAACAAGAAACCUUUCUGAUAAUCGUCGCUAAGGAACCAGCAUGGUUUUAUCCUGCAACUUUAAAGCAGCUUUUGCACAUUAGAAACAAAAGAACCCCUUCAACUACUGCAUUUAGUGGAAGACUGUACAUGUCGAAGCAUAGGUGAUUGUUCUAAGAUAUAACAAGAUAGAUGUAUAAAAUUUUUCUGCCUGUCUUCUCAUUCUUUCUUGGAGAAGAGGAUGUAGGGAAGCAAGCACAGCAUCACAAACAUGAAAUACAGUUUGGGAGCACUUGUCUGACACACUCCAGGCUCCCAGAUGGAACACUGGAUCAGCUCUAUCAAACUCAUUCCUCAGAGGAUCCUCCUAGCCGGGCCUUUCCAUUUCACAAAAUGUCUCAGGACAUGCCUUCAUCACCCUGAGCCAGCUCUUCUGACUAAAGUAACUGUCUGCAACGAAGCACGCAUCAUCAGACAAAGAAUGGUUGAAGUUCUACAGCGUCUUUCAUCUGAGGAAGUCAGAACGUCAUGAGCAGCAUUACCCCACAGCACACAGUGCUCGCAGCAGCGCCAGCUACACGGGAAGCAGUGCGGUGAGGCAGCGGGCAGGGGCUGAGCAGUCAGCAUGGCCCAGACCCGUGCCAGACCAUGCCCAGAGCAGCACAGCUCAUUGCCUUUGGCCCCGGCUGAAAAUUUGCUUUUGUGCAUUUCACUUUUAAAUAUCUAUUAAAUAAAAUGAAAUGCCAGCAGCUGUCACUGCAGUAUACUGCAUGACACGGGGAUCACCAGAGCAAAAUGCAUGCAGGAACCAUGGAUUUUUGAUUUAUUAUUAUUAAAUCUCUGCUAUUUUCUGCCUUGCUAACAGGCCAUAAGUGUCGCCUCUCUCCCGAGCACCCAGUCCCAAGGUGAGGGCUUGCCACUGAGGACUGCACGCAGCCAGGCCAGGCAGCAGGCCGCCAUCCACGCUAAGCUAUGCCAGCUGCCAAACUUCACUGCAAAGUGCCUCCCCCAGCAUCUGGCACUUCCUCUGCAUCAUGAUCUGUUGCUUUAUACACCGCCUACACGGAAAGCUGUGUGCUUACUUUAUGACUUUGGUGGCAACACCGUGGGGAGACUGGGCACAUCUGCAGACUUUGUGGCAAGUUUCAAAGCUCAUUCAAGAAGCAGGUGUUUGGGAGCAACCACGUCCUGCCAUGUGCUUCCUCUCACUCUGGCUCACCACUUCUUCAAGCCCUCCUGAAGCACAGUUUUGGGCCCCAGCCCUAGAGCUGCCCAUAGAGUGAGGGGUAUCCCUGGAACAAGAGCUCCCAUCCUGGCCAACAGGUGCUGCCUUAUGGUGUUCUCCUGGUCCUGCACCCACCUGGUGCACAGAGGCACUGCCAAGGGCAGGCUGCUGCUUCCAAGCCAGGAGGUUUGGGAAAGAGAAAAGACUAUUUUUCUCUUUACUUUGUGAAGUGCAACAGCAUCAAGAACAAGCAGAUUUCCAUGCUAAAAAAAAAUAAGGGGAGAACUGCUCCUUUUUGUUCUGUUUUGGAGCCCUAGUCUACUGCUUCUGUUUUCAAAUUUCCUGAAACUUGGCAAAGUAUACUUGUAUGCAAGUGAAGGACUUUGUUCCACAAUUAAUCUUCAUUCUGAGCAAGACUGCAUUUACCUUGUUAGUGCAUGGGUAAAACCAUGUUGCUGUUCUAGAAACUGCGAACAACCACAUUCAUGCAUACAAUUGCCGUGUUAAGAUCACACAAGAUCAAAGAGAAAAAGUGCAGCUUUGAAGAAAACACGUGAGAACGUCCAGCCGAAGGCAGGAGAGCGAACAGAGAAAGGCUGUAUAUUGUCCAGUCAUACAAGACAUAUGUAAAUAUACAUACAGCUAUUUUAUCUUUUGUAGAAGGUGCUGAAAUGAAACUAAGGUUAAUUUUGGCCUUCUGCAGCACUGCCAGGGCUCAGCAUCACCAUUCAGCUCCCCAGUGGUCCUCUCAGCAACUGUAUUUCCUGACCGGCUGAAAUGCUAAGGAACAGCUGAAGCUCCCUCCGCCGUCAGUGAAGUGCUUCUAACACCUCGGGCGAGCAAUUCAAAUUGUUAACAUCUGGAUUUCCCUCAACAAGCACUAGUUUCCCCUGCCCAAGGAUGGAGGGCUGCUAGAGCACCUGGGCUCCUGAAUGACAUAUCUGAGGCACUCUGCCUCUGUUAGACACCUGCACAUCUGUAUCCUGCAGAUGAAACCAUACCACUGCUUAUUAAGCAUCUCCGCUGCCCCAUAAUUAUGGCAGAUACUGAGCCCUGGAAAGGAGACUGUAUACGACUCCCUCGUGGAGGCUGAGAAGAGCUCAAAUAGGCAGUCAUUAGGAUCUAUAUUAAAUCUACUAAUUGCCUGGUGUUGUGGGAGAAAGUGAAAAUUUUGAUGCUUUUCUCAAACCUUUGAUUUGUUUGUUUACAAACAACCUAACUUUGUGCUACCGUUAUUUUCCCCUUUGCUCAAGUUUACAUUGGCUGGGGAACUGUCCUCAGUAUUUCUUGGAAUCGUAUAAAUGUCUGUGAAAUAUACAAGAUCCUAACACCUCAGGUUGUCUCUGCACUUGGAACCUUUCGCAGAACACAAGCUUUUCUCUUCUCCCACACCAUGUCUUUUCCAAAGGCAAAGAACUCCAGCCCCGUGAAAGCAAGGCUCACUUUCUAGAAGGAGAUCAGUUCCUAGGGCAGUUGAAAAGAAAUGCUGAAACAGCAUAAAGUCAUCAAAAUAGCUGCUAAGCUUUCUUCCGAAACUGUCUCUCAUUUUCAACUGCACCACAUCUUCUGAGCACCCUGAUGGAGCCAUAGAUGUCCCUAUUCAUUGCAGGGAAGUUGGACUGGAUGGCCUUUAGAGGUCCCCUCCAACUCAAAAGAUGCUAGGACUCUAUCAUUCUUGAGCAUGCUCAGCACAUUACAGCUCUGGCUGCAGAGAGAACUGCACAGAUCUCCAGCUCUCUGCUUCUAACCUACUGAGCUGGAACAUACUGCAAAGCUGAGCACACAUGGCACGACUUCUUUGAAACGGUAGGAAGUAAAGUAUAGGCUAAAAGGCCAAAACCAAACUAUGGCAAAUGUGGUUUGUUGUGCGUUGUUCUUUUAUGUAACACCAAGCACUAAGCUCAAUAAAGUAAUAACACCUUCAGACCUAUUUCCCUUUAGGUUUUUGUAGCAAGUAACAGAAACGCACAGACACCCUGAGAAUUAAAUCCUUUUCUAAAAAGUAGACAGCAUGACUUGCUUUGAGUUACAGACUUUUCUAAACGAAGCUAAAUCACAUCUGCCUCAUUUAUACAGCAAACCCU
Numida meleagris (helmeted guineafowl) is the source of this 5442-nucleotide RNA transcript. It is a transcript of the gene named G protein-coupled receptor 55, with no coding region annotated. The record is from RefSeq and is a predicted model, not a curated record. The transcript is spliced from 4 exons. Lineage: Eukaryota; Metazoa; Chordata; Aves; Galliformes; Numididae.